CAUCGAUCUCGAUGGGCAGACCAUCCGCACUGCGGUGCGGCCGGGCAACAGCCAGCUGGUGCCACUGCUGAUCUUCAACGGCAUCGGUGCC
This 91-nucleotide transfer RNA is filed under the name Ectopseudomonas mendocina. Its description in RNAcentral is "Pseudomonas mendocina tRNA-???(gc)". Lineage: Bacteria; Pseudomonadati; Pseudomonadota; Gammaproteobacteria; Pseudomonadales; Pseudomonadaceae. The record is from RNAcentral.